Molecule: unclassified non-coding RNA, 531 nt
Filed under: Hevea brasiliensis (rubber tree)
Lineage: Eukaryota; Viridiplantae; Streptophyta; Magnoliopsida; Malpighiales; Euphorbiaceae
Source: RNAcentral
CCCCGAGGAUGAAUCAUGAAAGGAUUUCCUCCGAUAUUUGUAUGAUCAUCAUUUCCCCUGACUGAAUUCCUCCCAGAUGAUUCAAUGAGAGAAUGGAAGCCAAUGUUUGAUAUUGAUGCUUCUCCAACUGGAGAAGGCAACUUGCUGGUAGGCGCAUCAACUUUCACACCAGUGCUAGCUUCCUUCUUCUUGUCAAGCAGAAAUGUACCAACAAUGAUCUGAACAGGGCCACCAGCUGUUAGAGGUCCACCAACUCCUCCUCCAAUGAUCUGUCCAUCUGUAUUAGAUAGGCAUACACUGAGCCCACCUGUUCUCCCUCCAAUAUCGGUGCGCACAUAUGAUCCAGAUAUUGAAAUGAUCUCAAACCGACCCUCAUAUGUAAUGUUGCCUCCUGAAGUUGCUGGCUGCCGGAGGGAUGCAUUUGAGAUUGAACCAGACGCAGACAUAAUGCACAUCUCACGCUUACUUUGUUGCAUGAACAUCAUAAGUUUUUGAGCUACAUCCUCGCCAGCAGCCACAGUUAUAACAUGU